AAGAAGAUGAUGUUAUCCGUCCCCGCCGAGGUCGAUCCUGAAGGUCCCAAAUCAGCCAGCUUUCCAACUGUCCCUAAGGGUCAGGGCCUGAUGUGUAUACCCAUCAAGGAAUGGGUUCCUACCCUCGCAAAGCCGGAAAGAAAUUGAGCUGGAGAACAGGUGCGGAGCAGUUCCAUCCACGCCGCGGUCGAUCCAGACGUAUCCAGCUUCUCAGCGAGAAAAAGCCUUUGGGGUCAGGGCUCGAUGUGUAUACCCAUCAAGGAAUGAGCUGCUGCCUCCAGAGGAUUGAACAGCCUCCAAGAUGCUGAGGAGCUGGAUGAUGACAUCAUUUCCUUAGAGAUCAAGAUGAGGUUUCAAGUAUAGGGAAUAAGGGG
Dalotia coriaria is the source of this 374-nucleotide long non-coding RNA. RefSeq lists it as uncharacterized. The transcript has 3 exons. NCBI's taxonomy places the organism in Eukaryota, Metazoa, Arthropoda, Insecta, Coleoptera, Staphylinidae. The record is from RefSeq and is a predicted model, not a curated record.